This is a non-coding RNA of Hordeum vulgare subsp. vulgare (domesticated barley), 125 nucleotides long. Lineage: Eukaryota; Viridiplantae; Streptophyta; Magnoliopsida; Poales; Poaceae. The record is from Rfam.
AAUCUACUCCCUCCGUCUGAAAUUACUUAUCGUAUAAAUGAAUAAAAAUAGGUGUAUCUAAAAUUAAAAUACAUCUAGAUACAUUCAUUCUUGUGAUAAAUAUUUUCGGACGGAUAGUGUAUAAU